Non-coding RNA from Oncorhynchus mykiss (rainbow trout), 3468 nucleotides. Lineage: Eukaryota; Metazoa; Chordata; Actinopteri; Salmoniformes; Salmonidae. The record is from RefSeq and is a predicted model, not a curated record.
CUACAACUCCCAUAGCAUGCAGUGCCUGUCACCUCUGUAUUGUGCCUGUCACUUCUGUCGUUAAGUACAGAGAGGUCGUAGUCUCAAACAGGUAGAUCGUUAAAUGGUUUUGAAGAGUUCGCGAGCGUAAUUCACACUUUUGGUGUCAUGAUGGAGAUUGAGGAUGGAAAACCAUUGCACGAGCGGAGAUUUGAUGCCGCUGUCAAAGUGAUACAGAGCUUGCCUCCAGACGGUUCUUUUCAGCCCUCCAAUGACAUGAUGCUCAAGUUUUACAGUUACUACAAACAGUCCACACUAGGACCCUGCAACACACCCAGACCUGGUUUCUGGGACCCCAUGGGCAAAGUCAAAUGGGAUGCAUGGAAUGAUCUGGGAGAAAUGCCCAAGGAAGAGGCAAUGAUUGCUUAUGUUGAUGAAUUGAAGCUGAUCCUUGAGGGCAUGCCCUGUACUACUGAGGUAGAGCAGCUGCUGCUGGUGUUGGGCCCCUUCUAUGAGCAGGUGCAAGAGAAGAAACACAUAAAUCAGGUUUCCGACCUGUCUGCAGGUUUUGGGACCAUGAUUACGUCAGCACCUUCAAAAAGUGUCACAAGGAGCAUCAUCAGGACAAUGGAAAUGAAUGGCACUUUGGAGACACGGCCACCCAGGCCGGCGGCUGAGCCUCCAAAGCCCAAAGUCAUGGCAGUGAAGGAACAGGGGGAGGAGGAGGAAGAGGAGUUUGAGUUUGAUGAGGAAGAUGAAGUUGAAGAAGAAGAAAUUGCUGAGAUCAAGGAGGUGAAAAAAGCAAAUGAAAAGUCGAGGAAAAAGGGCUCAUCCAGGAGACCUAAAGUCCCCCUGUCCGAAGGUAAUGUGAGGAACGGGAUGAGCCACUUUUCCAAUGGGACCCACACCUCCAAGGCUGCGCUGAACAAUGAGGACUCAGAGGAGCGCCUCUUGAACAGCACCCUGCCCCUGGAGCCUCAUGUCCAGGUCAACGGCCACCACGCAGAUCUGGAUGUAUCCUGGCCCCGUCAUGUGGCCAGUGACUCAGACAGCGAGGUCUACUGUGACUCUAUGGACCAGUUUGGCCUGGAAGAGGGCUCUGAGGCACACACUGACCGCUGUCUGGAGCUGGAUGAGGAAGAGCAGGGGGAGAGCCACAGCCCUCUGUCCGAUCAGGAAGGGCCCGCCGAGGCACCGUGUGGGACCCCUGAGGACUCCCAGGGGCCACCCAAGGGCAUCCAGUGUGGCGGGGAGGAUGGGGAGACGAGUGGAGGGGCCUCUCAGAGACAGAGACUGAAUACAGAUAGGGUCGAUAACUCCCUGGUUAGGAGAGAACGAGGCUCCAGGUCUUCAGGGCACGGCGUGGAGGCCCAGGGGCCCUUGCAGGGUAGCGGAGGGGACGGGGAACGAUGGGGUGGAGCGGGGGCAACAGGAGGCAGUCUGAAUGAGCAGAUCGUAGUGGCGCUGGCCAGACUGCAGGAGGACAUGCAGAGUGUCCUGGAGAGAUUGCACACACUCGAGGCCCUCACUGCAUCCCAGUCGUUGGCUCUACCAUACCCACCAUCACCCCUGGCAAAUAAGGGUAGUAAGAAACCAUCCUGGUGGCCUUUUGACGUGUCUCCUAGCGCUGUUGCCUUUGCUGUGGCAUGGCCAUUUGUGGCGCAGUGGCUUAUCCGCCUAUAUCUUCAACACGAAUCAACUGAAAAGUCUCCCGUCCCAAAGACACAGAGCGACGAUGAGAGCUCUCUCAACAGUCUCUGGUUGGGUAACGGCCGUAGCCUCCCUUCCGCUUUCCCACCCACACCUCUGUAACUCUAGCUUUUGCACUAUGAAGAUGGCACUAGGAGUAGUGAGUUGGGGGAAGCCUCACAACCCACUGAGUAGUGAGUUGGGGGAAGCCUCACAACCCACUGAGUAGUGAGUUGGGGGAAGCCUCACAACCCUACAAUUGAAAUCAAAGAGAAAUGUGAAUGAAUUGAACUGCAGCUUUUAUAAAUCAUGCAAUAUUAUACAACUACUGUACUACAUUAGUACUUUUUUUUUUUUGCUCUGAAGAAAUGACGAUGAUUUAACUUGGGCGGGUAAAGUUAUUGGUUGUGUAUGUUGAGUAUAGCUUAUUUUCUUGCUAAUGUUCCGUACGUCUUACGGCACGGAUCGGCAACUUUGAUGGGGGGUGUGUUCCAAGAAGAAGAAAAAAAAACGAAACUCCCCUUUUUAGCGGUUCGUCUCCUGACAGCGAAAAAAUUGACGUUUUAAACUUAAUUUCCUGCAAUUCUGCAUAUUUUGCCAUGGGGCGUACAGAAAAAUGUUGCCGUUUUAAAUAUGACUGAUGAUCAGUGGGCCCCACCCCAGUUAGUAAUUUAACCAUGUUUACUACAAGUUUAGACAGCUGGCCACUAGACUAGCUAAACUAACUGACCAAUGUAAAAACAUUUAGCUGACCUGGGCUUAUUGAGUGACUGCUGAUUGCACAACAAAAACUGAAUGUCGAAAUUGCAGCUUAUGUAUUCUACUAUUCUAACUCUCCAACAUUUUAUUUUGUCGGUCAAAUUGGUCAGCGGGCCUUCAAAAGGGGAGGGGGUCGCGGGUCCGCCAGUUGCCCAUCCCUUACAGCAUUAUAAGAACUAUCCAACUGGUCCUGCAAAUGGACAUGCUGCAACAGAAACCUUACGCCAUAUAUCAUAAUAGUUGCUCAGGCUGCUAAUAUAUGGCGAUAACGCUAGGUAGAUAAGUGUGUGUAUAAAUAUAUAAUAAUGUAUUUGUGGAAAGGUGCAUUUAAAUUCUGAAAAUGUGUUAAUUUUCAUUUAAUAUUAGAAAUAAUAAAUUAAGACUUUAUUGUCUCGUUUUUGGUUAGGUUGUACAUUACUGCUAGGAUGUGAAUGGUUCAGAUUAAGAAUAUUUUUUUAAUAUCGAAUCGGCUGUUAUACACUCGAUUUGUGUAUAUUUAGAAUUUCAUCAACUCAUGAUAAGGUGCCUCACCAAUGUAGCUGUGUAUAGUACAUGGGGGAUGGGGCCUAGCGCUUAAGAAUGUUGUGCUAGUGACCGGAAGGUUGAUGGUUCAAAUACCCGAGCCGACUAGGUGGGGGAAAAAAAGUCUGUCGACGUGCUAUGCAUUUAACCCUAAUUGCUCUGGAUACGAGCGUCUGCUAAAAUGUUUUAUUUGAGUAAAACAUCUCAAACGUAAAAUUGUAAUGUUGGUCCAAAUUCUGAGAAAAAUAAAGAUGUGAAACUCUAAUUGAACACUCAAAUAUUACCACCUCAGAAGAAAUAAAACGUUUAGUAGUGAUGGGAGAUACGCUUUUCAAAUAAAUAUAUUGUACUUUUUUUGAUGAUGACUGUUCAUAUUUUUUAUGUUCAAAAGUUUUGUGGGUCACUUAGAAAUGUCCUUGUUUUCCAUGAAAACAUACAUGAAAUGAGUUGCAAAAUGAAUAGGAAAUAUAGUCAAGACGUUGACAAGGUUAUAAAUAAUGAUUUUUAAUUGAAAUAAUA